Molecule: long non-coding RNA, 1462 nt
Filed under: Macaca mulatta (Rhesus monkey)
Lineage: Eukaryota; Metazoa; Chordata; Mammalia; Primates; Cercopithecidae
Description: lncRNA (ENSMMUG00000062958.1)
Source: RNAcentral
CCCGGGCGUUGACUGCCCGCGACAGGAGCAGGUUGGGGUGCUAUCUGGGACUGUGUUGCUUGUGGUCGGGGCAUGGGGCGGGUUUGAUGGGGCUCUAUUUGGUGCUGCAACGCCGGUGGCAGGGAUGGGUUGUGGACACUAUCAAGUGUUACACUGCCGGGUUCAGAGGAGUGGUUUGGGGGCGCUCUCAGGGUUACACUGCCUGCAUCAGUCUCUGGGUGUUGUGGGCACAAUCUGGGGGCUACGCUUGUUGGGCGGAGCAGGUUAGGGGUACUAUCGGGGGGCUGCUCUGCUGCUGCCAGCCGUGGGUUUUGGAGGUGGCCACGACAGUGGUGGCCUCUGAGGAAGGGCCCGGGCCGUUCUCCUCUUCCCGGACUCAAGGCUCUAGAGGGUGAACUUCUGCUCGUGUUGGAGUGCGGAGGGCACACAGAGUUUUUGCAGCAAUCCCCUGAGCACCACAGGGCCCACACACCCAGUGUGAUUCCCCGACCCUUGCCCUCUUGCUCUGUGUUGUGGAGACCAUCUGGGAGCCCCAGUCAUGGAGUAGUAGGCACCACGGGGUCUCAGGGCCCUGUGGGUGGAGGAGUCAGGAAUGGGAACUGGUACUUUGUUGGGCAGGACUGGCUGGGUCUGAGUUUCCGCUAUUUUUGCUCCCCAAGGAGCCCCGGGCACUGUGGUGUCUCCAGUCCCCACCCCAGGUCAGGCGGCCAGCUUGGUCCAGGAGGAGAGGCUGGACUUUGGAGGGUGGGUGUGAGUGCCUUCGCUGAGACUGGCCCCUGCCACCCAGUGGCCAGCAUGACAACGUGAGGCUCUGACACUGCCACUUUCUGCAUCCCGUUGUAGAUUUUUCUGGCUUUGCCUGCCCAGCUGCUCCAAGCCAGGCUGGUGAAGGAGGAGUCUGCUGUGGUGAGCUGGAGGUUGGAGCCUGAAGAUGGCACAGCUCUGCAAUUCAUCUGUGGUUGUGGCGGUGACGGUGAUGGAGACUGCAGCUCAACAGGAGCAGGAGGAGGAUACCCAUGGAGGCCAGGAUCAUCACAAGCCUCAGAAAUGCUCCAGUUGGCCAGAUUCCACCGAGGACCCCAUGGAGGAACACCUCAGGGAGAAGAAAAAGGAGGCCCCAUGGAAACUGAAGGAAGUUUCAGGAGUCAAGGAGAACGGUGUAUGUGGGGCAGUCCCUCCCGUGUGGACGAAGAAUCCAGGUGAUGAGGAAUGUGCCGCUGUGUCGCUGGCUUUCCUGCACACAGGCAGCCGGAGUGGAGCUUCCUGUUGUGAUGAGGACCCGGGCUGUGGCGGGAGAAGUGGUUGCUCCAGGGAGGGUGGCCCAGCAGCAGCUCGGUUUGUGCUCUCACCCACCUCCUCCACACAUGCCAGCCCUGUUCCUCAGCACCCAAGGCUGCCAGAGGUCCUUCAGCAGCUCCCAUGGCUGACAGUGACUCUGUUUCCUAGCGACGGUGGCCAGUGA